This 251-nucleotide ribosomal RNA is filed under the name uncultured prokaryote. RNAcentral describes it as "partial 16S rRNA". It matches the Rfam family "Bacterial small subunit ribosomal RNA", at positions 525 to 775 of the family's 1533-position model. The record is from RNAcentral.
ACGGAGGGUGCAAGCGUUGUCCGGAUUUAUUGGGCGUAAAGCACGUGCAGGCGGUCUGGUAUGUCGAGUGUGAAAUCCCGGGGCUUAACCCCGGAACUGCGCUCGAAACUGCCAGUCUUGAGUUCGGAAGGGGGAGAUGGAAUUUCCGGUGUAGGGGUGAAUUCCGUAGAUAUCGGGAAGAAUACCGGUGGCGAAGGCGAUCACCUGGUCCGAUUCUGACGCUCAGACGUGAAAGCGUGGGUAGCAAUCAG